This 3850-nucleotide long non-coding RNA is filed under the name Hordeum vulgare. RNAcentral's name for it is "long non-coding RNA (HVUL_LNC003899)". Lineage: Eukaryota; Viridiplantae; Streptophyta; Magnoliopsida; Poales; Poaceae. The record is from RNAcentral.
ACACCAAUAUAUUCAAUCACCAUGUAGAAGAGCAGGGUCUGACUACGAAAGAAAGCAAACAAUAAAAGAACGACGUCCAUCCUUGCUAUUCUAGGCUGUCGGCCUGGAACCCAUCCUAGAUCGAUGACGAUGAAUAAGAAGUAACUCCAAAUAGAACAAUCAUCGCGCUUACAUAAAAGGAUCUCUUUACCUGUUCCUGCAACUGUUGUUGUAGUAAUCUGUGAGACACAGGGACUCAGCAAUCUCAUUUCCAAAGGUAUCAAGGCAAGCUAAUGUUAAUGGGUGAGUUAUGGUAAAGCGUGAGGCUGCAACAAGCAACUAAUCAUUUAUUUGAGAUGGCUAACUUACGAGUACAAGAAUAAGAUGGGGGUGAUCUAUGAAUAACGGACAUGGACUAAUAAUGACCUCGAGGUGAUCCUGAACACCUACUUACGUAAAAAAUAACCCAUCUGUGUCCUCUUCCGGAUGCAGAAAUCAUGAGAAGAGACAGUCACGGUUACACACACAUUUGACAUAUUUUAAUUAAGUUUACUUAAAGUUAUCUAGAACCGGAUGUUAAACAAAGUUUCCAAAUUUCCACAUAACCGCGGGCACGACUUUCUGAAAUAUGUAACCCUGCAGGGGUGCUCUAACUAAUCCAACACAAACUACCACAAGUUGUGUCGGACACCUCGACUGGGGAAAACCAGUGAUCUCCUCGGAUUCCGAGUGGAAAACCUGAACCUCGAGAUAGACCAAAGUAUCCUCGGAAUCCCUCGCACAAGACAUCCGUGAAAGGUAAUACAAAUCCAUCAAAACCGCUCGACAUGUCGACGAUCCCGAUAGAAUCCGCGUAUCUCGUUCUCAGCACACGACGGAUAAGCGACGCGUAUGGAACAUAACACCGGUACACAAGUAACUUGGGCGGCAAAGUUGGAACAAACACCAGGCUAGGAGGCCAAGUAUGUAGGUGCAUUAAAUUAAAUAGCAAUAAUAUGAUGACAUAACAAGGAACCCAUGUUUUCACAUGGAAACAACUGCACCUGCAACUAGCAAUGCUAUCAGAAGGCUAAGAAAGCAGUAACAUAGCCAAACAGUGAUUUUGCUGGGAUGUGGAGAGAUUAGAGGUUUUCCAUCGCAAUGUUGAGAGGUUGAGAUUUAAGUAGUAGGCAGUGAUACUUAGCGAAAGAAACAAAACAAAUAGCAUUGCAAUGAUAGUAAUGGUAUCUAGGGAAAUGAUCAUCUUGCCUGUGAUCUCGCUUGGAAGAAGAAUGAAUCUGUGAAGCAAACGAACCAACAUAGUCGAACGAAUCCUCACACUCUGAAAUGGUUUGGAACUCUAUCAAGAAGAAACAACCCGGAAACAAACAAUCAACACACGACAACACCACAACAUAUGCAUGACACGAUGCACAACACAUAUGAUGCAUGAAUGAUAUAAGUAUGCACGACACGACAAAGCACAACAAUUAAUACUACACAUUAAAUGAAGCUCAAUAUGCAACGAGUUGAAUAUUGACAAAACUCCAUAUUUGAAUUACUUGGUUCACUCCCGUUUAGAUACACGACAAUGUUAAAUGUCGUUAAACAUGGCAGGAGGUGAAGCAUAAAUACACUACCUAUCUAGGCAUAUUAAAUGAGGUCAAAAACAACAUAUAGCAUCUCUGAAAUGACCCCAUGUGUUAAUUUCGAAAUUGGUCCAGAUUUGUAGUAAACACAAUUUACAUUUAUUAAACAGCAAAAUGAAGUGGACCAUGUGAUUCAACACAUCAUUCUAGUCGAUUUACAUAUAUAGAUUAUUUAAAAUGAAGCUACGGUCUGAAAGAUAUGAGAAACACAAGAUGAUAUGCCAUGAAUGCAAAAUGCAUGCAAGUCACAACCACAACAUGUUAAAACAUGGAUGCACAAGAUAAUAUGAAUCUACAUGAAAUUCGAGGCAAGUUUAAAUGAGGCCGGAGUAACGAAUAACAAUUCCGGAAAAUCUCCAUAUCAAAUUAAGAUUUGAUACUGUUCUGUCUAUGCAUAAUUUUAGAGUUGUUAAAUAGUAAAAUAAAUGCUACCAUGUUAUUCUACACAUUGUUCUAGUCAAGAUACAUAUGUAGAUCAUUUUAAUUGAAGCUACGGUUAAGAAGAUAUGAGACAAUCUAGCUAACAUGGCAUUAGGAAAAUUAAAUGAAAACAACAAGUUAAAUAUUUUUUACAUAGUUGAAAGUUGGAUAUUGUGAAACUAGAAAAAUUCUAAGCAUUUUUCAUAUAUGAAGGUUUUACAUGCGAUGCACAUAUAAUUUACUAUGAAUUAACUCAUUUUAAUAUGGCAUCACACAAAUCAAUGCAAACAACAGGUUAAAUAUUUUUAAACAUGCAUGAAAGUAGGUUAUUAUGAACCUACAUAUAUUCUGGACAUUUUACAUAUCUAAAUUAUUUUAAUCCGUGGCACGGUUGAAAAAUGAUGUUUUUUCUGUAAUUAAAAUGCAUUGGUUAAUUAGGAAAAAAAUAUAGACACUAAAAAAAGACUGCAAGCCAAAUCCCUAUUUGAUCCAACAGCAGAUGGGCACAACAUAGCUAUGCGGUGCAGCGGGAGAAGGAUAGGUCAACAUGAAUGGGGCUCGGAUGGAUGAUGCUCACCAUGGGCCACUCGGCCAGUCGAGGAGGCACGCUGGGUCGGCCCAUAGAUCCGAGCUGGGCCUGGCUGGAUCGGCGACCCACGUAGCACCGAUGGGCGAGCGCAUAGGCAUUGCUUGCGCUGGUGCGGUCAACGCGCUCGUGCGAUCACAAGUAGGGCUGGUGCUGCCCAUGGCGGCACGAUGCACGACAGGUCAUAGCAGGCCCAACCGUCGCAGCCCACCCACGACGAUGGAGGCGAGCACUCGUAGCCUCCCACGAGUGCCUGAAGCAGAGCAAGGCGGGGCAGUGGAUUGGUUGGGCUCGGGGCGACCGCUCCAGUGGCCACGAGGCGAAGCGGCUCCGGCAGGGCUCCGGUCGCUGGCGUGCUUGAGGCGGAGGCGAGCGACACUAGCAAGGAAGCACGGGAGGCCAUCGAGGCCACUACUCGAGGACGCCAUGUCCAUGGUGCCCGGAUGGAACCUGAAGAGAGAGAGAGAGAGACGUGAGAGGAAGAGAAAACGGGAGGAAGAGAUUCUGGGAGAAGGAGGAAGACAUGGGGAUGGGAAAGCUCGGUCCCCAAUGCUCCGGCGAGGUCGUCGUUAGAGGAGCCACUGCUGCAGAGGAGGUGGCUCAACCAGGAAUGCUAGGGCGCGCGAAGAUGAGGGUGACGACGCGAGCAUUGGCCUCGAUCCAGACCGGAUCAAGUGAUGUGGUCACUGCGGAGGAUGGAUGCGUCCAGUUGGUCCGACGCACAAAUUGAGGAGGAAUUCCAAAACAAGGCGGCGGCGGUGGGGACAAGAUGGAUGGAUGAGACAAAUUCCUAGGGUUAGGCUAGGGUUUCACUGCUUAAAUAGCUAGGUGGAUAUGGAUAUGGAUUAUCUGGACCCCGAUCUCGAUUGGGUGGUCGAGAAAAAUAGGCUAGGGGGCUCAAUUGAAAAACCAUGAUGGUUUGGGGUAUUUCGGGGCAGAUCUAGGCCCAACGUUCACGAACGUAUGUUUCGGGUUCUGGGAACUUAGCAGACACACGCGAGGGGUCUUUUCACUGUGUAGAGGGGCUAGGCAUAGAAGAGAGGGAAAACGGACAGCCUAGCAUCAUAUUUUCAAACACCGAAAAUGUCUACGAUUUAGACUGGCUAUAGUGCCGUUAUAGGUUUAAUAGUUCGGGUAACAAACGACCUCCAAAUGCGGUGAAAUUUGGCACGCGGUCUACCUAUAAUAAAACAAGACCGCUCGCGAACUUUCCUCCCAUUCUGAUAAUGCUUUAUAC